RNA transcript from Alnus glutinosa, 2256 nucleotides. It is a transcript of the gene named protein ZINC INDUCED FACILITATOR 1-like, with no coding region annotated. NCBI's taxonomy places the organism in Eukaryota, Viridiplantae, Streptophyta, Magnoliopsida, Fagales, Betulaceae. The transcript has 18 exons. The record is from RefSeq and is a predicted model, not a curated record.
CCAAAGAAGACUCUAGCUGUCCAAAGGAGGACCACGUGACAGUGUGGUCUUGCAUUUCAUGCGUCAGUUCAGAAAUGGGGGAAGAAGUCCCGUGCCAAUUCUUGUUGAAACUUGUAUACAUUACUCAACUCCUUUACUAGGCAUUCUAUUCUAGUAAACGAAGAAAAGUGGAAAGAAGUCAUUUUUGGGUGAAUUCUGUGUUCUCCGAUUCGGACAAUUUGACAACUAAUAAUAAAAGAAGAGAGGAAAGAUACGCGGGAACGAACGCUAUUUGUUCAUUACUUGGCGGCAGCCGAGAGGUGGCGCUACUCUUGUCAAUGAAUAUGUUUAGCCGCCAUCUGUUUAAUGUUGUCAAUUAAUCUUAUCAAUGAACCACUCUACCCUGUAUCCGUGAAUGCUAUUAUAUUCUAAGUGGAAGUCCCAGAGAGACUUGAGUGUCACUCAAAGGGUGAGAUGGCUGAGGUUAGGGAAGGGUUGCUUAAGAAGCAGAACAAGGUUGAUUAUUAUGAGAACUGCCCCGGUUGUAAGAUUGACCACCUGAAAGAAACCACACCCGGCCCUCCUCUCAAGCAUUUGCUCUAUGUGUUUAUCGUGGUCCUCGCUGCAGCUUUGCCCAUAUCAUCUCUGUUCCCUUUCCUAUAUUUCAUGAUAAGGGACUUCCAUAUUGCAGAAAGGGAGGAAGAUAUUGGCUAUUAUGCUGGUUAUGUGGGAUCUGCAUUUAUGUUUGGAAGAGCUUUGACUUCUGUGCUCUGGGGAAUGAUAGCUGAUCGAUAUGGUCGAAAGCCUGUAAUAUUGUUCGGCACAAUUAUGUUGGUUAUUUUCAAUACUCUUUUUGGCCUUAGUACAAACUUUUGGAUGGCAGUUUCUACAAGGUUUCUUCUUGGAAGUUUGUGUGGUAUACUUGGCCCAAUGAGGGCAUAUGCUUCGGAAAUUUGCCGUAAAGAAUAUCAAGCUUUGGGAAUGUCAAUUAUUAGCACAUCAUGGGGCGUUGGAUUAGUCAUUGGUCCAGCUGUUGGAGGUUUUCUUGCCCAGCCUGCAGAGAAGUAUCCAGACAUAUUUUCUGAAGAAUCUCUGUUUCGGAGGUUUCCGUAUUUGUUACCUUGCCUUCUCAUAUCAAUCUUUGCAUUGGGAGUAUCUGUUCUCUGCUGUUGGCUCCCGGAAACGCUACAUAUGCAUACUAAAAACAAACGAGAGCUUGAGGACUCAUAUGAUCAACUAGAGUCCACCACUUAUGGGCCUGCUGAGGAAGGAAAUAUGCAAAAGUCUGGGGAGAAGUAUCCAGCUUCUCAACAGAGCCUUCUGAAAAAUUGGCCAUUAAUGUCAUCUAUCAUCGUCUACUGUGUUUUCCAGCUUCAUGAUAUGGCUUAUACAGAGAUUUUUUCAUUGUGGGCUGUUAGUCCCAGGAAAUAUGGGGGAUUGAGCUAUUCGACUACAGAUGUUGGUGAAGUUCUUGCGAUUACAGGCUUUGCUCUAUUAGUCUUUCAACUAUUUGGAUACCCCUUGGUAGAGAGGAUAUUUGGGCCCAUCAUGGUAUCUCGCAUUGGAGCUGUCUUGACCAUACCAUUGCUGUCAAGUUACCCUUUCAUAUCUAUGCUUUCUGGCCUCAGCCUCACACUAUUGACUGACUGCGCAUCUAUAUUGAAGAAUGUGCUCGCUGUCGCCAUCACUACAGGAUUGUUCCUUUUGCAGAACAGAGCUGUGGCCCAAAAGCAAAGAGGAGCAGCAAAUGGCAUAUCAAUGUCUGCUAUGUCUUUCUUUAAAGCAGUUGGUCCAGCUGGUGGAGGUUUGCUAUUUUCUUGGGCACAGAAGCGUCAGAAUGUGUCUUUUCUUCCAGAGAAGCAACACACACUAAUAUGGAAUUACAAUAAAUGAGAACAUUAUUGGACACUCCCCUGGUCAAGCUGAGGCGAAGAUAUCUCGCAUGCCCAGCUUGCACAAGGCUGAAUGAAGAACAUUAUUGGACACUCCCUUCGUUAAAAUAUUUGCAAGUUGCUCCCCUGUCUUCACAUACGGUGGUCAUAUGGUUUUCUUCAUUCUGAACUUGAUUGAGGCGAUUGGACUGCUGAUGACUUUCAAACCUUUUCUAGCUGAACCAGCUGAGGACAGCAUUUCAUAGCUCAAUCCUAGAGCUUGACAGGAUUUUGAAAUUUCAUCCUUUGAAGAAUGUGUCAAAAAAUUUGUUCCAACCCACAUUAUUUGGCCGGGCAUUACUCACACUCACAUCUCUCUCUCUCUCUCUCUCUCUCUCUCUCUCUC